Molecule: long non-coding RNA, 1808 nt
Organism: Oreochromis niloticus (Nile tilapia)
Lineage: Eukaryota; Metazoa; Chordata; Actinopteri; Cichliformes; Cichlidae
Exons: 3
Source: RefSeq, a predicted model, not a curated record
AUUGAUUAUGUCCAGACUAUAAACAAAUGGACUGAACUGCAGCUUUAUAUCAGAAGGGGCUGAAAACGAGCUGAUAAAAUCAAAGGUAAAUGAUCAGGACGUGCUGCACUAGUAAAAGUGAGGAGGCUGACAUCAUGAGCGGAUUUAUUUAAGCCCUGCUCUAUAAACAAGCCUCAUCACGACGUUCUCGUAAACGCCUCAAACAGCUACGCACCUGCCGACAUCCAUCCGACUAAUUAACGGGCUGUAACAACAAUAGAUGCGAGGCUGGGCUGAACGGGAUGUACCGAGGCUGUCCGCCCACACACGCACGCACGCACACGCACACACAGUGGCAGGAGUUAUACUGUAGAGGAUCUUUAACGUUUAACGUUAAUGAGCGCGGAUGCUAAGCCACAGACCGACCGUUGCUACGUUACCGACACACACCUGUUACCAAACACACCGCCGCCAUGUAAGCUAGUUCUGCGAGCUAAUAACCUCCACCACUAACUAGUAACAGUUAACACUGAAACUAGCCCGCUCAUUUACCCGUUAACUGGUUAAUUAUCCUGAAGAGCAGUCAUUAGUUCGUGCCGAGCCGAGUCGGACCAGACGCUACUCACCGUGUUUUGUUAGCUCCGGAAUCUGCUCAGGUUACCGGGUUAAUCCAGCCGCCUGUGACCGUUUCAACGUCAAAGACAGCCGUUAAGAUCGAUGUGGUCGCGAGGAUCCUCUCUCACUGACUGAGCUCGCAGCCAGCAGCACGCGGACAGUCCGGGGCGGAGCUACGUCAGCGUAAACAACAGGUCACGAGAUCAGCCGCCAUAUUCUCAACAGCUUUAUUUUUCUACUGAGAAACUUCUGAAUUUAUUUCCUGAGCGUUAAACUGUCUCGCACGUCGUUGUGGAGGAAUCGUUGCUUCAUUGAGACGGACAAUCGUUCAUGGACUCUGACUGGAUCCCUGCAGCACCGAUUCUUUCCUUUGUCAUCUUUCUCAUCUGUUUGCUGCUGUGCUUGAGAUCAUUGUCAUGUUGCGUGACUUAAUUUGAUCUGAGCUUUAGCUGUGGGACAGAUGGCCUCACAUUUGACUCCAGAGUACUUUGGUAUACAAGAGUUCAUGCUCAAUAACUGCAAGGUGCCCAAAUCAUCAACCGUGCAUACAGUUGGUGUGAGGUGUUUGUACUGAUGUGUUGUGUUUGGUUUACUCCACUCCUUGUUCUGUGCAUUAUAUACAAACAUCUGCAUUUUGCUCUCAUCUGUCUGAAGGACAUUGUUCCAGAAGUCUUGUGGUUUGUUAAGAUGCAGUAAAUCUAAGUCGUGCUGCAUGUUCUUUUUAGAGAGACAAAACUUUCUUCUGCAAAUCUGCUAAAUAAGCUGUACUUGUUUAGUCUUUUAAUAUUCAGUCUUUCAGUGGUCCUGUCCUGACCUUAAACAUUUAAAUGCAGCCUGUAGUUUCUGGAUUGGAGCUGCUGGGAUCUUUUAUUUCUCUGAGCAUUGUAUGGUCUGACCUUGAGGGGAAUUUGGUAGAUUGUGGCACUGUGUUCACACACUGAAUGCUCUUGAACAGCAACCUACCAAAACUUGUUUAAUUCAUAGAGGUGCUCCCAAAUCCUGAUAAUCGGUUAACCAAACCAACUGACCUGCUUAACUUUUAUGGAAGCAUUAAGGGACUACUACAUUUUUUACACACCUCUUGAGGAGUAAACAAUGACACAGUGUAAUAUAUCAUGUGUUGUUCAUUUAAGGUUGGAUUUACCUCAUUUCAAGUCCUGAAAUAGACACAAUGCUUUUAUUAUGUCCUGAUAUAUUAAAUGUUAUUACUCAAA